This 596-nucleotide long non-coding RNA is filed under the name Homo sapiens (human). RNAcentral describes it as "long non-coding RNA NONHSAT246498". Lineage: Eukaryota; Metazoa; Chordata; Mammalia; Primates; Hominidae. The record is from RNAcentral.
CUGGAGUGUGGAUUAGGUCCCUGCCCUUGGUGGGAGCUCAUACUGACAGGAGGUGAGACUUGCCAGUGCCUUUAGAGGCCACUGUCCACCCCAGACCCUCCACUGGGAGAAGCAGAGGCCAGGAUAGGCUGACUUGUAUGGGUAGGGGAUUAUUUCAGUCUCUAAGUCCUGGCCAGUGUGGACCUAGGUCCCUCUGAGAGACACUCCUAUCCAUGGGGAGGUAGCGUGUGACCUCAGGCAGCCUACCAUAAUCCUGGGGCUUCUCUGGAGGACCCCACACAGAUCUAUCAUAGGAUAAAUCUACUUGUCUGUCGUAGAUCUAUCUCAACUAGGACCAUUCAUCAGUGGGCCAUUUAAUCAGCCCACUUCAGCCAGGAGGGCACAAACAUGAAGCUACUUUGCACUGAAUCCUAUCAGUGUGGUGAGAACAUUAGACAUGCCUAUAGGGAAUGAUCUGUGUUUUUGGUUGAUAUAAAAUAGAGAGCAAUUAAUUACUGUUUAGUAAAUGCAGGGCAGUGGAAAAGAAUCUUUCAAAAGAGGAUCCCCACAUGGAAACAAUCAAGGUGGCUUUUGUGAUGACAAGUGGGGAACGAGAU